Long non-coding RNA from Oncorhynchus tshawytscha (Chinook salmon), 961 nucleotides. NCBI's taxonomy places the organism in Eukaryota, Metazoa, Chordata, Actinopteri, Salmoniformes, Salmonidae. The record is from Ensembl.
GGCGGCAGGGUAGCCUAGUGGUUAGAGUGUAGAGGCGGCAGGGUAGUCUAGUGGUUAGAGUGGAGGGGCGGCAGGGUAGCCUAGUGGUUAGAGUGGAGGGGCGGCAGGGUAGCCUAGUGGUUAGAGUGGAGGGGCGGCAGGGUAGCCUAGUGGUUAGAGUGGAGGGGCGGCAGGGUAGCCUAGUGGUUAGAGGGGAGGGGCGGCAGGGUAGCCUAGUGGUUAGAGUGGAGGGGCGGAAGGGUAGCCUAGUGGUUAGAGUGGAGGGGCGGCAGGGUAGCCUAGUGGUUAGAGUGGAGGGGCGGCAGGGUAGCCUAGUGGUUAGAUUGUAGAGGCGGCAGGGUAGCCUAGUGGUUAGAGUGGAGGGGCGGCAGGGUAGCCUAGUGGUUAGAGUGGAGGGGCGGCAGGGUAGCCUAGUGGUUAGAGUGGAGGGGCUGCAGGGUAGCCUAGUGGUUAGAGUGUGGAGGCGGCAGGGUAGCCUAGUGGUUAGAGUGGAGGGGCGGCAGGGUAGCCUAGUGGUUAGAGUGGAGGGCGGCAGGGUAGCCUAGUGGUUAGAGUGGAGGGGCGGCAGGGUAGCCUAGUGGUUAGAGUGGAGGGGCGGCAGGGUAGCCUAGUGGUUAGAGUGGAGGGGCGGCAGGGUAGCCUAGUGGUUAAAGUGGAGGGGCGGCAGGGUAGCCUAGUGGUUAGAGUGUAGAGGCGGCAGGGUAGCCUAGUGGUCAGAGCGUUGGACUAGUAACCUAAAGGUUGCAAUUCAAAUCCCCGAGCUGACAAGGUACAAAUCUGUUGUUCUGCCCCUGAACAGGCAGUUAACCCACUGUUCCUAGGCCGUCAUUGUAAAUAAGAAUUUGUUCUUAACUGACUUGCCUAGUUAAAUAAAGGUCAAAUAAAAAAAAUAGUAUAAUUUAUACCUCUAAUAUCUCUACUACCAUUACCACUAGCAUCAUUUAUACCUCUAAUAUCUAUG